UACGAAGGGUGCAAGCGUUACUCGGAAUUACUGGGCGUAAAGCGUGCGUAGGCGGUUUGUUAAGUCCGCUGUGAAAGCCCUGGGCUCAACCUGGGAAUUGCAGUGGAUACUGGCAAGCUAGAGUGCGGUAGAGGAUGGUGGAAUUCCCGGUGUAGCGGUGAAAUGCGUAGAGAUCGGGAGGAACACCAGUGGCGAAGGCGGCCAUCUGGAUCAACACUGACGCUGAGGCACGAAAGCGUGGGGAGCAAACAGG
RNAcentral lists this ribosomal RNA (253 nucleotides) under uncultured bacterium. Its description in RNAcentral is "partial 16S ribosomal RNA". It matches the Rfam family "Bacterial small subunit ribosomal RNA", at positions 524 to 776 of the family's 1533-position model. The record is from RNAcentral.